Molecule: small nucleolar RNA, 130 nt
Filed under: Carlito syrichta (Philippine tarsier)
Lineage: Eukaryota; Metazoa; Chordata; Mammalia; Primates; Tarsiidae
Description: Small nucleolar RNA SNORA25 (ENSTSYG00000023667.2)
Rfam family: Small nucleolar RNA SNORA25
About the family: ACA25 is a member of the H/ACA class of snoRNA that guide the sites of modification of uridines to pseudouridines.
Source: Rfam by way of RNAcentral
AGAUCAUUUCAAAGAGAGUUUCUAGGGCUGUAAAACCAGGAUCCCUUAAUGCUAUGAUGAAAAAUUAAAGUUCAUCCAUGAGAUGAAAUAGUCACUCAAGAGAGCUAUGUUUUCCUAAGGAUAUACAGGA